RNAcentral lists this ribosomal RNA (449 nucleotides) under uncultured bacterium. RNAcentral's name for it is "partial 16S ribosomal RNA". It matches the Rfam family "Bacterial small subunit ribosomal RNA", at positions 29 to 523 of the family's 1533-position model. The record is from RNAcentral.
AACGAACGCUGGCGGCAUGCCUAACACAUGCAAGUCGAACGCAUCCUUCGGGGUGAGUGGCAGACGGGUGAGUAACGCGUGGGAACGUGCCCUUCAGUUCGGGAUAACCCAGGGAAACUUGGGCUAAUACCGGAUACGUGCGAGAGCAGAAAGAUUUAUCGCUGAAGGAUCGGCCCGCGUCUGGUUAGCUAGUUGGUGGGGUAAUGGCCCACCAAGGCGACGAUCAGUAGCUGGUCUGAGAGGAUGAUCAACCACAUUGGGACUGAGACACGGGCCAAACUCCUAAGGGAGGCAGCAGUGGGGAAUAUUGGACAAUGGGCGCAAGCCUGAUCCAGCCAUGCCGCGUGAGUGAUGAAGGCCUUAGGGUUGUAAAGCUCUUUCGUCCGGGACGAUAAUGACGGUACCGGAAGAAGGAGCCCCGGCUAACUUCGUGCCAGCAGCCGCCGUAA